Non-coding RNA from Vicugna pacos (alpaca), 4884 nucleotides. The record is from RefSeq and is a predicted model, not a curated record. NCBI's taxonomy places the organism in Eukaryota, Metazoa, Chordata, Mammalia, Artiodactyla, Camelidae.
GCGGGACCUCGGCGAAGGAGUGGAGCUUGAGAGUUGAGGGAGGUGAAGCGCGUUGGUGGGCGGAGUCCUGCCACCUGCUCUCGCCGCCCUUAAACUCUCUGGGUAUAGAGCUACGCUGAAAACAGGAAAACGUGACGGUGUGUUUUGCUCGCGAAAGUUCUCAGUCUUCGGUUUUACUCCCCGCCUCCGGCCCAGGCUAACUUUCCCCACCUGUCGGGGAGGGUCAAGGUGACUCCAAGUCUUACAUGUGGAGACCCACAGACUUCCGGGGCUGGGAGACGGCUGAGGUGCAGCACUGGCCGAGCGAAGGCAGGACCCGCUCUGUUCCAGGUCCCUAGCCGCUCAGUUGCUGGACUCGCCCUCCUGCACCCCCAAUAAUGAAUCGACGCUCUUGUGUUUAAUGUGAAGCGGAAUAAGCUGCUUCUCCCGGGGACAUGAACUCGAGUAGGAGAAUUAAGCCAAGAGAUAAGUUGAACUAUUACAUGACUGAAGACUUUCGAGCUCCAAAGCUGGCUACUUUUAGAAACAUUCAAGAACCAGGGCCCCCACCCAGGUGGAGGAUGGCAACUUCAGGCUGAGGACAGGAUUCCUGAAACACAGUUCCGUUACAAUACUGCAGCUCUCACCCCAAAUUUUGCCUAUAAAAAGUUUUCCCCCCAAAACUAUUGGGGCAUUCGGGGGUUUUGAGCUUGAGCGACCCAUUCUCUUUGGGCCUGCAAAAAACUGUCUCUGCUCCAAACUCUGAUGUUUCGGGUUGUUUGGCCUCGCUGUGCACCAAGUACAUGAACAUUUCGGUAACUCUUCUGCAGUAUCUGAUAUCAGACUAUUGCUCCAGGAUCCUGCCCUUCCCCUGAAUAGAAACCAAUUACUCUUAUCUAAGUCUCAGGAGGCAGCCGCAAGAGAAGAAACAAGAGCUGGUUAAAACCAACAGAGCCCAGGAUGGUGGAGGAUUUGACUUCUGAUGGGCCUUAAGCCUCAUUGUAAACUCACCGUAAUGUAUUAGUAUACUAAAUGACACGCUCACCAGCUCCAAGACAGUUGACAUGACGACAACGACCGGAAAAGCCCAUAUAAGGACUGAAAAGCCCGUACAAGGACUUGUUGGCUCCAUCAUGCCUGGAAGAAGGGCAUGAUGGCAGAAGCCCCCCAUGAAGUCCACUGGCCACCUGGGCUGGCGGCUCCCUGCUUGAGCACUUUUCUUUCCUAUUUCCUGCUCCAGCACUUUCCUUCCUUUUCCCCUUUUGAGAAAUAAAAGCAGCUUUUUCACUUUGUCCCUCUGCCUCUGAUGUGAAAUCUCUCACAGCUGGGAGCAAGGACCCACACUUUGGUGGGCCUUCUAAUUUAGGGGUCUCACUCUCCACUAACAUCACCACUGACAUCUUACCGCAAUUCCCCUUGUCCCGAAUCAUGUCAACAACUAAGUACCAGUAGACAUCACAGGAAAGUCUCAAUGACAGAGAUCACAAGUGCUCCCCUGGCCCCCUUCUCUCCUGCCUGGGCACAGGGAGAGAUCACUUUGCCCAGCCCUGGGACUAGCUCUAGGCAGUGAAAUUUGAUCAGAAGUGACAUGUGCUCCUUCUGGGCUGAGAUGUUUAGAGCUGGGGUGGUGCUACCUUGACACUCGCUCUUCCUCUACCACCCUUGUAAGUGCUGCAACCUGGCUCCUUCCGUCCUGCCCAACUCUGCAUCUACCGGGAGAGACAGUGAUGGAGGCAAACAAGGAGAAAGAGAGGGCAGCUCGGAGGAACCAAUUCAGAGAGAAGAUAAACAGAACAGUCAAAGUGUCUUAUAAACAUUUCCAUCCUGUCUCAUUUGUCUCACCUUGCAACUCUAAACAUUCAUAUCCCAGGUUUGCCUUAUAAAAAAGUACACUGAAGUGGACCCAAAUAGACAGCUUUUCUAUUUUAAGGCCAUUAUGCCCCCAGCUAGGUGCGAUGAUCUCCUGCAUGAACAGCUCACUAAGCGGCCAGUCUCGCAGGGCCAGCAUGACACUGGCCACCACUGUCUACCCCAUUCGUCAUUUCUAGGAGUGCGAGUGGAGCCAGAGACACCUCUUCUGAGUUUCUUCAUGGCCAAGACCUUUCCUUUUCUAACACUAGGUGGAUGGUAGGAAACCAAACAUCUCCUUUUUGGUGAAAGACUGCCAAGAUGUGAAGAAUAACAUGUGGGAGACAGGGCAAACUGAGCUAGAGCACCUGGAACUAAAGGACAGCUGUGCUAACUGUGGUCCCAUCACCAAGGGGAUGAAGCUCUGGGCUGACGGUGGAGGCCAGUUCAGCCUAGCAGUUAGACCUGGAGACCUGGGGUGAGGCAGGUUUAAGUGGAAUCCCACCUCUACCAUUUAUUAGCUGUGCUGCAUCAGGCAAGUUCCUCACCCUCUCUGAUCCUCAUCUUCCCUGCUUUGUUGUUUAGUUCUAAGGAUUAAACCAGAUAGUACAUACAAAGGAUUUAGUGUACUGCAGGUACCACAAAGCAUUGGUUAAAUACCAGGCUGGGUCUCCAAGGUCGUGAGUUCACCUCUUAAAACUCCCUGCUGGGAAAGAAAGUCAUCCAUCCUUGCAGUCUGACCUCCCUGGUAAGAGGUCAGGGGAUUGGGUACUGCAUGUCCUUCAGGACCUUUGUAGUUUUAUAAGACUUGGAAGAGCCCACAUGGAGUUGGUGCAAAAUAGAAUUGCAGGCAAAUGUCUGCAGGGAGCAGAAUUGCAAUGGAGAAAUGACUCCAUCGUUAGCUGUGCAAUUCAACCUAAUCACAGUAGCUAUAUUCCCAGAAACGACUCUGUAGUAAAACAAAAACUUGCACGCUGUGACCUAACAUUCCACAGAAACCACCGCUGAUGGGGUGGGUGUGGUCAUUCUGUGCUGUGGAAACACACCUUUUGUCUGCUGCCCAGGGAGCCUGUUGUGGGGCCAAGCCGGGCUGAGCUGCCGGCUUGGAAAGCUAACCGGGAAGGGCAGGGGAGCCGCCUGAGGGCUGGCUGCGGGCUGCGGGCAUGUGAAAGUUGCUGCCUCUGUAGGCUGUUUUGAUCUUCCAGGCACGAAACAUUCGUGUGCUCUUUGCAAAACCCCUUUUCAGGACUAAUGUUGAUGAUGCAAUGCCAUUCCACAGAGGCGGUGAACAAAGGACGUUGGCUGGACCUCUGGGUGGGACAUUUCCCCAGACCCCUCCACUCAGUGUGUCCUUAAGGACACUCAUCACCUGCCUCCCAGACCUGUUCCUCCACCUCCAUUCUGUAGCCCAGAUUGUUGUGUGGCUUCCGACGAGAGGACUACGUAUAAGGCACGCCGAACAGUGCCUGGCCCGAGGCGGCACUAGGAAAAGCACACGCAUGCUGCGCCGCCUGGGACGUGGUUAAGCUCUGGGUCGGUAAAGUCAGCAGUCAUCAGAACUGUCGUUAUUGCCAUUUGGAUGGAAAAUUCUGGAUUGUGUUAGGUGAGUUGUUACUUCUUUCCUUGUUGCUGAGGAGUGAGGAACACAGAGCUGACCUGCUGAGGGAAUUUUCUGGGCACCUUCUGUGUCAGGAGACAAAACAAUGGUGAGAGGAGAGGCUGGAAGGCUUAACUCCAGAAGAAGGAUUACCAUCUUUGUUGGCCUGGAGUGAAUUCUCUCCCUGGGAAGCCAGAAAGGGGUGGUAAGUCACGUGGUGAAACCCAACGAGACUGACUCGGUGGCCCCUGGCCUUGUGGGGGUUGGCAGCGCGCGGCAGCGUUUAGUGCUCCCCGCCCGGCAGAGGGGGAGGGAGACCAGCUCCCCUGAGCUUCCCUGCCCCCAGGAUGCACGCCGUCUGUGUUGUGUGUGUGUGAGAGGGGGUGUGUGCAUGCAGGCUGUGUGGGUCUGUGUGUCUGUGUAUGUGUGUGUGUGGGGUAUGUGUGUCUGCGUGUACUCGUGUGGUGAGUGUGUGAGAGAGAUGUGUUCAUGUGGGGUGUGUGGAUCUGAGUGCCUUGUAUCUGUGUGUGUGGGGUGUGUGUGUAACACAUGUCUGCGUGUGUGCUGUAUGUGUGAGAGAGAGGUGUGUAGGCAGUGUGUGUGUCUGUGUGUGGUGUGUGUGUGUGUGCUGGGAGUGCAAGGGCAGGAAACUCAUUCCUGCACGACUGAUGAGGAGGCAAGCAUUUUAAAUUAUUCUUAGAUUGAGUGUUUUCUGUUAGUCGGACCAUUUCUUUUACAGGUGCUGGUAGGAAGCAUUAUUUCUCUCCUGGGGACUUUAUUUUCUUCUUAAAAAGUUAAGUAAUCAUACGUGUUUGAAGUAGGUCAACAAAGAGGAGCUGUCUGGUUCUGCUGUCUAAGUGAUGCUGCCUGUAUUGUCGUCUGCAUGACUUUUUAAUUAAAGCGCCUUCCGCGUUCACGAGUAGGAGCUGCACCCCCGUGCCUGAAACCACAGACCCAUUCGCACCGCACACGGCCCAAGAGCGGAGCAUCACAAAACAGCAGACAGGAAGAUCCUGUGUGCUCAUGUGACUUCAGGCUUUGGCUCCAGGGUUUCUACAAAGGCGAGCAGGACAGAGCGGCCACUAUUAUCUCAGAAACCAUGAUAUUGCUUAUGAUCUCAAAAACCGAAAUAGAGUGAUGCCGCGGGUGAGUCAGGAGACAGACGGACAUUCUGAUUCCAGCUGCACCACUUACUGUGUGUCUUGGGCAAGUUUCUGAACUUCUCUGAGCCUCAGUUUUUUGUCUCCAAAUUGGAGCAAACACUACAGCCCUACAAUCUCUUAUCUACAAUCCCCAAAUCCCAAAGCGAUAAAAAAAAAAAGACCUUGUUUUUUCAUUUGGCAGUGAAAUCUAAAUGACCUGAAUUAAUUUGCUGUAAAAUCCUUCCUUGAAUGGACACGAAGCUUUUUGCAGUCUGUGCGUAUUUUAUUUAAUGUGAACAUAGAUGUUUUGCUACAGAA